CGGGUGAGUAAUGCGUGACCAACCUGCCCCAUGCUCCAGAAUAGCUCUUGGAAACGGGUGGUAAUGCUGGAUGCUCCAACUUGACGCAUGUCUUGUUGGAAAGUGUUUAGUGGCAUGGGAUGGGGUCGCGUCCUAUCAGCUUGUAGGCGGGGUAAUGGCCCACCUAGGCUUCGACGGGUAGCCGGCCUGAGAGGGCGGACGGCCACAUUGGGACUGAGAUACGGCCCAGACUCCUACGGGAGGCAGCAGCC
This 251-nucleotide ribosomal RNA is filed under the name uncultured Gardnerella sp. RNAcentral's name for it is "partial 16S ribosomal RNA". It matches the Rfam family "Bacterial small subunit ribosomal RNA", at positions 103 to 355 of the family's 1533-position model. Lineage: Bacteria; Bacillati; Actinomycetota; Actinomycetes; Bifidobacteriales; Bifidobacteriaceae. The record is from RNAcentral.